UACGGAGGGUGCAAGCGUUGUCCGGAUUUAUUGGGUUUAAAGGGUGCGUAGGCGGCCCGUUAAGUCAGUGGUGAAAGCCUCCAGCUCAACUGGAGAACUGCCAUUGAUACUGGCGGGCUUGAGUACAGACGAGGUAGGCGGAAUUGAUUGUGUAGCGGUGAAAUGCAUAGAUAUCUGGAGGAACACCGGUGGCGAAGGCGGCGUUCUGGACUGCAACUGACACUGAGAGACGAAAGCCAGGGGAGCAAACGGG
RNAcentral lists this ribosomal RNA (253 nucleotides) under uncultured bacterium. RNAcentral describes it as "partial 16S ribosomal RNA". It matches the Rfam family "Bacterial small subunit ribosomal RNA", at positions 524 to 776 of the family's 1533-position model. The record is from RNAcentral.